Molecule: long non-coding RNA, 948 nt
Organism: Bubalus bubalis (water buffalo)
Lineage: Eukaryota; Metazoa; Chordata; Mammalia; Artiodactyla; Bovidae
Exons: 2
Source: RefSeq, a predicted model, not a curated record
UAAAUUAGCAACUUGUGAAAUCUUAAAUUUAAAAUUAAUAAGAGCUGCGUGAUCUUUAUAGGUACAGUGUUAGCAGGUGCUCUGGGCCUCCACCGUCAUUUGAUUUAUUUUGUUUCCGUCAUUUUAAUUGGGGGCUGCGAGUUCUUUCGGCAAGUCUGUGUGGAUGCGGUCUCGUCAUCCAGGAUCCACUCUUAUUGGAAAUAGAGCAUUGGCUCCAACUUAAUUGUACAGGCUUAGUGGUCACAGCACCUCAAAUUGUGAGGUCUUCCCAGAUGUCUACAAAUCCCAAGUCCUUCACUUCAAGUCAGAGUGACUCCCUGUCGACAAUGCUUCCCAGGGGAGGAACCUGCGGUGCAAACCGGAAGCAGGACCUGGAGUGCAUCAGCCUGCUCCUUCCCUGCUGUGGGCAUUAACCAGAGGCUGGACUUUGCACAGGACCAAGUGGUACACAUGAUGCCCUGCAGACACUGCUGAUGAGCACAGUUCCCUUCACACCACGACCCGAGCACAGCCCUCCAGCGGUGGCUCCUCCACACCCCCUGAAACCAGGCCUUCAGCCCUGGCUGGCAGUGUCUCUCAGCCGUCCUCAGACAAACUCUACCAGCGCAGCUCUUCACUGUUUCUCUUUUCUACCUUCUAACACAAGCUCUCUGCUCUGGUUUCUCACACACUAACUCCUAGGCCACGGCCCUGAGUCACCCACCAUCCACCCUCAGAUUGAAGCAGAUCAGCUACACCUGAGGAUGCUGGGAUGGGGACCCUGGGUAGCCUCCAGUGUUGAAAUCAAUGUCCCCAAAUUCCUGAAAAAGCCAGCCAAGUGCUUUUUAACUAGUUUUAAAAUUACCCAGACUCACCAGUUUUCUUUUGUGAUUGCCAAAAAGAGAUAUGAAAUUGGAAUGUAACAUAUUAUCUUAGGAUUUUGAGAAUAGGCUGAGGACCACACUGCGA